GGCAGCCAUUAAAUUAUACAUAUAACAACAAUAAAAAUAAGAGGAUUAUGGUACUACUAGUAAAUAAUGCGAUAAGUGAAUGAUAAGUUCUCUUUCUUUUGGUUUUAUUCUUUUGUUUCUCUUCUUCUUUUUCUUCUUAUUCUGCAAUCAAUAACA
This 156-nucleotide non-coding RNA is filed under the name Heterosigma akashiwo. Lineage: Eukaryota; Raphidophyceae; Chattonellales; Chattonellaceae. The record is from RNAcentral.